RNA transcript from Capra hircus (goat), 4028 nucleotides. It is a transcript of the gene named paxillin, with no coding region annotated. NCBI's taxonomy places the organism in Eukaryota, Metazoa, Chordata, Mammalia, Artiodactyla, Bovidae. The record is from RefSeq and is a predicted model, not a curated record. The transcript is spliced from 8 exons.
GCGGCGGCGGCGCGUUCCGUUCCUGGCCGAGGCUCGCGGCGGAAAAGUUGCGCGGCGGCGAGGAGCGGCCGCGGGACGGGCGGCGAGCGCGACGCCGAGCCGGCUCCCCGCGCCCGCGGCUCCCCCGCCAUGGACGACCUCGACGCCCUGCUGGCGGACCUGGAGUCCACAACCUCUCACAUCUCCAAGCGGCCUGUGUUCUUGUCUGAGGAGACCCCCUACUCCUACCCGACUGGGAACCACACGUACCAGGAGAUCGCCGUGCCCCCCGUCCCACCGCCCCCAUCCAGCGAGGCCCUCAAUGGCACGGUUCUCGACCCCUUAGACUCCUGGCCACCCAGCACCUCCCGAUUCACCCACCAGCAGCCUCAGUCCUCAUCCCCCGUGUACGGCUCCAGUGCCAAGACUUCCAGUGCCUCCAACCCCCAGGACGGCGGCGGGCUCCCGUGUCCCCGAGCCGGCGAGGAAGACCACGUGUACAGUUUCCCCAACAAGCAGAAGUCAGCAGAGCCUUCACCCACCGUCAUGAGCUCCUCCUUGGGCAGCAACCUCUCCGAGCUCGACCGCCUGCUGCUGGAGCUGAACGCCGUGCAGCAUAACCCCCCGGGUUUCCCUGCAGAUGAGGCCAACUCCAGCCCACCGCUGCCAGGGGCACUGAGCACCCACUACGGCGUCCCAGAGAAUAACAGCCUGCUGGGGGGCAAAGCUGGACCACUGACCAAAGAGAAGCCCAAGCGGAACGGUGGCCGGGGCCUGGAGGACUUGCGGCCCAGCGUGGAGAACCUCUUGGAUGAGCUGGAGAGCUCUGUGCCCAGUCCCGUCCCCGCCAUCACUGUGAACCAGGGCGAGAUGAGCAGUCCCCAGCGAGUCACCUCCAGCCAGCAGCAGACGCGCAUCUCAGCCUCCUCUGCCACCAGGGAGCUGGACGAGCUGAUGGCCUCACUGUCGGAUUUUAAGACCAGCUCCUCCUCUGCUGUGGCCUUGAGCUCCUCAGGGCUGCCACCCGGCUCAGCUCCAUCCUCACACCACAGCCUCCCUACUCCACCUCCUCCCGGGCCCUCUGGAGGCCUGCCACCCCCUCGGAAGCCCUCCCCUCAAGGCCACAGCCACACCCUGGGCGUCCUCUGCGCGGAGGACAACGUGGCCCCCGGCCAGCUCGAUUUGGCUGGCUUUGGGGUGAUGCCUGACACCCCCAACUCAAGGUUUCCCUCCACAGAGGGUUGGCCAGGGCCGCUGGGUGUAGAGAGCCAGGCUAGCGUUUGGAGGGAUCCACCAGACCUGGUUGGGGAGCUCUGCAGGACGCCUCCCGGCCACACUCUACCCUACACUGGGGGCACAGGUCCCCAGGAGCCUGGGGGCCCCCAAGCACCGUCGGCCAAUGCUUUGCGCCCGGAAGAGGCGGUGGCUGCCACUUGGCAGGGGCCUUGGGCUCUGGGGGCGCUGAGGCCUGAGCCCCCGCAGGGAACUGCGCCCAGCUUCCAGGAGGUCACUGAGCCGGCCGUCGUGGUCGUGGACCGUCAGGCCGUCUUCCCGGAUACCUGGAGCCUCACGAAGGAACGUGGAUGGCAGGAGAGGGCAAGGCCAGAGCCAGGGCCGCCAGAGAGUGGCCGCUGCACCCCCGUUGAGGAUGAGCAGCUAGGUGGAGAGACACCCUCGGCGGGUGGCCUGGUCAGGCCAGCCCAGGGACCCGAGACCCCCAGGAAUCCAGAGGGCGCCACUGAAGCCGCCACCGAGGCCAGGACGGACCGGCCAGAACUCCCGCGGGCUGUGGCCGUGGACACGCCCAGCACCACGGAGAGAAUUUCCACAUCUAGCCAGGCAGGCGCACGCUCGCCCUGCUCGGCGUGGCCCCGCCUGGCUGACUGCAUGCGGCCUCCCUGUCUGCGCAUGUCUGCUUGGGCGGCCGGUUGCAAGAGGCUGUGGCCCGAGACCCUGAUGGCCAGCGCUGGGCAGUGGGCUCCAUGGAGCUGGCGGAGCUCCUUGGGUCCCGGAAUCUCCUAGUGACAGCCAGCCUCUUGCCCGAUGAAGGCUUUUUCCUUUAGAUGAGCUUCGCCUGACAUCCUGAUGGGAUGUGUGUGGAAUGGUUAAAAGCAUGGGCUUUGGAACCAGCAAGAAGUGAAUGAAUACAAACCACACCUCCAACACGUGCGCCCCGUGUGACCUUGGGCAACCCCCCGACCACCAGCCUCAGUCUUCUCAUCUUUAAAAUGAGGGAAAAUAGACCAUUUCCCCCAAGGCUGUCCAAAGGAUUAAAUCAAACAAUGCCUGGAAAGUGCUUCGGAAGAGCACAGCACGCCGUCCCCAGUGAGCUGUGCCUGACAUCAUGUUAUCUGCUUGAUUGAAAUUUUUAGGCCCUUUUCAAAAGCGACAACAGAAUGAAACCAAACUGCUAGAAACAAGUAGGUUAUAAUCCUACUUAUAUAAACAAGGAAAAAAACACAACUGGUUAAAGGAUAUACUGGAAGAAAAGACUAUUUUUUUUUGUUUCUAUUAAGAAACAACAACAAAAAAAGGAAAACUCUCAAGUUCGUUCGAGAAUGUCCACUUAGAUUCUUUCACAUCAUUCUUGUAAUAACUCCUUAAAGCAGUUGAAAAAAAAAAAAUACCAUUACCCCAUUUCAAGGAUGGAGAAGCUGAGGCUCUGGAAGUUCAGGGUCUUACCCAAGGUCAGGGCCCCCUGCCUCUGCCCUAGCUCUGCUUGGCUCAUCUCUGAUGGUUGGGUUCUUCUGCCCUCCCCUCCUGGGCACCCCCCGACCCCCACCCCCGAGUGUGGACUGAGCCGCCUCCGCUGAGCCCAGAGUGGCCUGUGACAGCGUGCCUCCCCACUAGAUCCGCUCGGUGAUCAGGAGGAGCCGGGAGACUGGCCACGCUCACCCCAUGUCCCGGGAGCCCUCCCCUCGCCGCCGGCUGGACCCCGCCACCCUAAGCAGGACCCCCUCCCAGGAGCGGCUCAUCGCCGAGCUGCAGGGUCGGCUGGGCAUCCGGCCGGAGGCAGAGGAGGCCGCGGGGGCCGCAGGGGCCUCCACCGAGGAUUGGCUGACCGAGGGCGUCAUCAUCACCGUGCAGCCGCGUGGGAGGCGGGCUGGGGGGCAGCUGGUGGAGAAGGUCGUCUUCCCUCCUGGCUCUCCUCUUCCCCUGCGGAGAACCUUCUCUGUUCUGCCUUCUCCUCUUCCUCCUCCCAGCCCUCUGCUCCAGCACCGCAAAGACGCCUCCUCGGCCAGCAACUCUCCUCCCCUUCCCAGCCCGCCCCCCCCCUGCGGCCCCUCUGGGGUCCAGAGCACUGAGACGGGGCUGAGGAGAGUCAGUGUGCAGGGCCCCGCCCCUCACGCGGCUGCAGCCUGCUCCGUGAGGUCCAUAGGCUGCCAGACCAACGAGGAUCCGCUCUUCCCCCCGAUGCAGGCAGGCCUCCUGGGGGCCCGGCCCCACCUGUGCCUGUCCUUAUGCUCCAGCGGCAUCCCCACUCUGCACACACACACACGCACACAAACACACACACAUACACACAGCUCUCUGUCUGUCCAUCCAUAAGAUAUUAUGUCCAUCCUUGCACUUGGCCUUGUGCCUUCAUCCACAAGGUACCUGCGAAGUACCACAGCCCUUCCUUGGACUUGGCCUUGACCCUGGACCCUCGCUUUACCCGAUGUCCAUGCUCGCUCCCUCCCCUGAGGUGUCAGCCACCCCUUGGUCCCUCCCCAGGCUCCCUCUGAGGACGCUGUCCUCAGAAGGAAAACCAAGCAGGCCUGGUACCUGGCAAAGCCCCCUGGCUCUCUGACCCAUCACCUCUGCCCCCUCAGUCCGCGCCUUUGGCGGGCUUACCUCUCUCUUCCUCUUCAUCUCUCCCUGGGCCCGUCUCUCUCGUGGUGGUUUUCCCGUAGACUUUUUCUCCUGAUUUUCGUUACUGCCAGUAGGGGGGAAAAAUCCAUUCUCUUAUCUCAUUCUGAAGUCCCUGUUGUGACAUGGUCUAGUGAAAAGUUCUCUUACUCUUUUUUCCUUAAAAAAAAAUAAAAGCAAUCCUUCUCAUUUCCUCC